Molecule: long non-coding RNA, 1143 nt
Filed under: Canis lupus familiaris (dog)
Lineage: Eukaryota; Metazoa; Chordata; Mammalia; Carnivora; Canidae
Description: lncRNA (ENSCAFG00040023791.1)
Source: RNAcentral
AUGCGAGUAAGACGCUGUCCCGUAGUCACGGAGCUGGGGUUCGCGGGGCGGGAGCCGCCAUCUAGCGGAGGCCCGCCGACGCCGACCGACCCGACAGCUGGGGCGGGCUUCAGCGCAUCCCGGUGGCCGACGAUGACAAGGUUCGGACCCCGUGAACAAAGCCUCCGCCUGGCUCUCCCGUCUCGUGCGAGGGCCUCGGCUCCUACCGGCGGCCUCCGGGCAGGCGCUCCGCCGUGCGCUCGCCCAGCACCCACAGGCCGGGGGCCGACGCCGCGCACUCCGGUCCGGCCAGCGGGAAACACCAACAGGGAUACGCAGCCGGGCGCGUACGAACGCGAAGGAAACGCGGCAGGAGCUCCGCGGGGCGGGGCCGCAGGUGCGGCGGACGGGACCCGAGGGGCUCGCGUCUCACCCGCGCUCCGUGUCUGGGCAGGAAACGGCAGCGAGCGCACGGCGACCCGGCGGGGCGAGACCCAGGCUCUCCGCCCUCGUUCACCGCAGGGUCGGAGGGAAGUGUCUCCCGACCCCGAAGGCCCAGCCCCGCAGGCAGGGAGCCCCGGGGACGGGACGGGGGGCGGGACGGGGACGGGACCGGGGACACGGCCGGGGACGAGCCCGGGGACGGGACCGGGGACACGGCCGGGGACGAGCCCGGGGACGGGACCCGGGGACACGGGCCGGGGACGGGCUCGGGGACGGGGCCGGGCUCGGGGACGGGACCGGGGACACGGCCGGGAUCGGGGACGGGAUCAGGGACAGCCCCGGGGACGCGCCCGCCGGCCGCCACGGAGAUCACGGCAGGCUGUGACCACGAGCACCGUCCUCCGCCAGAGCCCGCCCGGGCCGCGCCCACGGGGACUCCCGCGCCCGCCGGCACAAGCGAGGGGCCGCGCUGGGGGACCCCCAGGGCCCAGGCCGGGCCGGAAGCCAAGCGAGGCCCGGGACGCCCUUGGAGGUGAACCUGCGGGACACCAACCAAGGGCUGCGGGAAGCCGGCGUCGGCACCGGGGGCGGGGGCGGCGCGGUGACCUUGCUCGCGCGGCCUCCCAGAUCCCGGCCGCCCCCCACGGGAGCUGGGCGGCAUCCCGCCUCGUCCCACGAGGCCCCGGAGGAGCCCGCUACUCACCCCGGGGCGGACACUGA